This 375-nucleotide RNase P RNA is filed under the name Salmonella enterica subsp. enterica. RNAcentral's name for it is "RNase P RNA component class A". It matches the Rfam family "Bacterial RNase P class A". Rfam says of the family: Ribonuclease P (RNase P) is a ubiquitous endoribonuclease, found in archaea, bacteria and eukarya as well as chloroplasts and mitochondria. Lineage: Bacteria; Pseudomonadati; Pseudomonadota; Gammaproteobacteria; Enterobacterales; Enterobacteriaceae. The record is from RNAcentral.
GAAGCUGACCAGACAGUCGCCGCUUCGUCGUCGUCCUUUCGGGGAGACGGGCGGAGGGGAGGAAAGUCCGGGCUCCAUAGGGCAGGGUGCCAGGUAACGCCUGGGGGGGAAACCCACGACCAGUGCAACAGAGAGCAAACCGCCGAUGGCCUACGUAAGUGGGAUCAGGUAAGGGUGAAAGGGUGCGGUAAGAGCGCACCGCGCGGCUGGUAACAGUCCGUGGCACGGUAAACUCCACCCGGAGCAAGGCCAAAUAGGGGUUCAUAAGGUACGGCCCGUACUGAACCCGGGUAGGCUGCUUGAGCCAGUGAGCGAUUGCUGGCCUAGAUGAAUGACUGUCCACGACAGAACCCGGCUUAUCGGUCAGUUUCACCU